Molecule: ribosomal RNA, 613 nt
Rfam family: Eukaryotic large subunit ribosomal RNA
UAACGGAGGUAAAGAAACUAACAAGGAUUCCCCUAGUAACGGCGAGUGAAGCGGGAAGAGCUCAAAUUUGAAAGCUGGCAGUAAUGUCCGCGUUGUAAUCUCGAGAAGUGUUUUCCGUGCUGGACCAUGGACAAGUUCCCUGGAAUGGGAUGUCAUAGAGGGUGAGAACCCCGUACUUGCUGUGGACGCCCAGUGCUUUGUGAUACACUUUCUAAGAGUCGAGUUGUUUGGGAAUGCAGCUCAAAAUGGGUGGUAAAUUCCAUCUAAAGCUAAAUAUUGGGGAGAGACCGAUAGCAAACAAGUACCGUGAGGGAAAGAUGAAAAGCACUUUGGAAAGAGAGUUAAACAGUACGUGAAAUUGUCAAAAGGGAAGCACUUGAAGUCAGAUAUGCAUAGUAGUACUCAGCCUUAUGGUGUAUUUACUAUUGUGCAGGCCAACAUCGAUUUUUGGUGACGGAUAAGGGUACAAGGAAUGUGGCCUCUCCGGAGGUGUUAUAGCCUUGUACUGGAUACGUGACUAGGGAUCGAGGAUCGCAGCGUCCCCAUUAGGGCAGGCCUUCGGGCACUUUGACGCUUAGGAUGUUGGCGUAAUGGCUUUAAGUGACCCGUCUUG